CAUUAUUAUUUUUAAUAGUUAUUUCCCCAAUACAAUUUUUUUCUACUGUACAGCAUAGUGACCCAGUUACACAUAUAUGUAUACAUUCUAUUUUUGCACAUUAUCAUGCUCCAUCCCAUGUGGCUCACAGCAUAACUACUUGGCAUUGCUUCUACAGUGGCUGCGGUACAACUUGAUAUAUUUUGUAUGUACGUUUUACUGUCUAUUUUUCCCAUUGGCAUGCAAGCUCCUUGUGAACAGGGAUUUUGUCUGAUCAUUUCAUUGCUAUAAUCUCAGUGCUAAAAAGGAGCAUGGUAAACAGUAAGGGCACAAUUAAGAGUUAUUCACUUUAUGAAUGAGUACUAUUUGGGAAUAAUAAUACAACAACCCCAAUAAAAUGCAAAGCAUUUGUUUUUUUCGGGGUUUGUAUUUGCAUUUUUUUAACCUUUCAUUUAUUAUUUUUUCUACUAUACAUCAUGGUGACCCAGUUACACAUACAUGUAUACAUUCUUUUUUCUCACAUUAUCAUGCUCCAUUAUAACUCACUAAACAUAGUCCCCAGUGCUACACAGCAGGAUCUCAUUGCUAAUCCAUUCCAAAGGCAAGAGUACAUCUAUUAACCCCAAGCUCCCAGCCCAUCACACUCUCUCCCUCCCCCUUGGCAACCACAAGUCUAUUCUCCAUGUCCAUGGUUUUCUUUUCUGUAUAAAGGUUCAUUUGUGCCAUAUAUUAGAUUCCAGAUGUAAGUGAUAUCAUUUACUCCAAGUGUCAGGGCAAGUAUGCAGAGGAACCCAAACUGGCACCCACAUUCUCUGGCUCUACUUCCAGUUCCAGCUCCCCCUGAAAUGCUCCAUGAAUACCUCACCCUGUAGCAGACUCAAAGACUUGCCAGUGAGAUCUCCCCUCAAGAAGUGACUUCGUGUCCAGUUGCAAGGAAGGUGAGUUGCUAAUGGCCUUAUCAGUGGCUUCAUCAGGAUACCCCUUAGCUUGUAAACUGACUUUAAGCUGUUUGGUCACCAAUGACCAAGCAAGGGAGUGGCACAAGCACCUGGCCAUUUCCACUGAGACUAAGAUGCUUCUAGACAGUUUUCUUUGCUCCAAGGCUGCCCACUUUCCUGAGAGAGAUGUUCCCAGAUCUAAGCCACUUCCCACUUCCUCUCUUUUACUCUCACAGUUUCCUAUAUAAUAGACCUGUUGCACUAUAAUUUUCAUCUCAGCAUCCACCUCCCAGAAAAUACAAGCUAGCACACACCAACAUAAGAUACCCAAGGCACCCUAGGGAUAACAAUGGAUGGAAAGGGACCUCACCAGAUAUGCUUUAUCAUACAUUUCUAUCUAACUGAACAAAAAGGACAUCUAUUUCCUUCCUCACCUUCAUUUUCUGUCUUCUUUCAGAAGACCUAAGGACAAGGAAAAUCAGAACUCUUUCACUAUGGAAAACUCCAGGAGUGCAGAAGUUUAAGGAAGAGUAUGCACAUUCAAAAUCUAAUUCAAAGUUAAGUCACAAGAGUCUUUUAAUAAUUGAGUGACUUCCUGCCCUGGGAUGCAAAACACACUUCAAAAAGGAAUGGUACUGCAUGUUCUGACAUCAGUGAGGUGAGAAAACACCAUUUACUACAACCCACAUAGCUCUCAGAAGUUUGUGCUGAUACUAAAAAUCUCUCUUUUACAAGUUUAGCUGGAAAUAAUGACAGAUACAUUCAGAUGCCUCAACUAUAAAAUAGACAAUAAAAGUAAUACCUUCUUGUGUGAGGAUUAAAUGAGAUAAUACAUCGUAAAAAGCUUUGUACAAUAUUUAAUAAACAUUACUUGCUAUUAUUACACUAAAUAAAUGGAAUAAAAUAUUUUAAAAAAUAAUUAUUUCUAGGUUUUACUUUUAGUUUUAAGAAAAUGUCUAUGAUGAACUCCAGAAAGUUAUGUAGAAGUUGAUGCUUUUAUUUUACUCAGUGUGACUUUUCCCUUCAUUUCUUUAAGGGUUUUCUUAACAUACAUGAUCUCUUUCUCAAUUAAGUGGAUGAAUUAAUUAAUUAAUUGAAACACAUAGCAAAAAAAAAAGAAGAAGAAUAUGAAGCUAAAUAUACAUGUAUGCAAACAUGUAUGGAAACCAAUAUUCAUCUGUCUAAAGUACAUCAAAGGUAAACAUUUUCCAAUGCAUAGUCCUGAACUAGACAUGUAGCAAAUGCCAAUUUCUUUAUUUUGGUGGUUGUAUAGAGAGUUUAUAAGAGAAAUGUUGUUUGUGAGAUGUACAUUAAAAGUUUUCAGAGCUUUAGGAGGUAAACUCAUUUUCAAAUGGUUCCAGAAAGAAUUGUUCCUAU
This 2294-nucleotide long non-coding RNA is filed under the name Sus scrofa (pig). RNAcentral's name for it is "lncRNA (ENSSSCG00035070696.1)". The record is from RNAcentral. Lineage: Eukaryota; Metazoa; Chordata; Mammalia; Artiodactyla; Suidae.